GUGAGGAAUAUUGGACAAUGGGGGAAACCCUGAUCCAGCCAUGCCGCGUGAGUGAUGAAGGCCCUAGGGUUGUAAAGCUCUUUCAGUGGGGACGAUAAUGACGGUACCCACAGAAGAAGCCCCGGCUAACUUCGUGCCAGCAGCCGCGGUAAUACGAAGGGGGCUAGCGUUGUUCGGAUUUACUGGGCGUAAAGCGCACGUAGGCGGAUCGUUAAGUCGAGGGUGAAAUCCUGGAGCUCAACUCCAGAACUGCCUUCGAUACUGGCGAGCUUGAGUCCGGAAGAGGUGAGUGGAACUCCUAGUGUAGAGGUGGAAUUCGUAGAUAUUAGGAAGAACACCAGUGGCGAAGGCGGCUCACUGGUCCGGUACUGACGCUGAGGUGCGAAAGCGUGGGGAGCAAACAGGAUUAGAAACCCCUGUAGUCC
This 425-nucleotide ribosomal RNA is filed under the name uncultured bacterium. RNAcentral's name for it is "partial 16S ribosomal RNA". It matches the Rfam family "Bacterial small subunit ribosomal RNA", at positions 354 to 796 of the family's 1533-position model. The record is from RNAcentral.